RNAcentral lists this ribosomal RNA (274 nucleotides) under uncultured bacterium. Its description in RNAcentral is "partial 16S ribosomal RNA". It matches the Rfam family "Bacterial small subunit ribosomal RNA", at positions 523 to 796 of the family's 1533-position model. The record is from RNAcentral.
AUACGGAGGGUGCAAGCGUUGUUCGGAAUCACUGGGCGUAAAGGGCGCGCAGGCGGUUUGGUAAGUCAGAUGUGAAAGCCCACGGCUCAACCGUGGAAGUGCAUUUGAAACUGUCAGACUUGAGUACUAGAGGGGAAAGUGGAAUUCCCGGUGUAGAGGUGAAAUGCGUAGAUAUCGGGAGGAAUACCGGUGGCGAAGGCGACUUUCUGGCUAGAUACUGACGCUGAGGCGCGAAAGCGUGGGGAGCAAACAGGAUUAGAAACCCCAGUAGUCC